Molecule: ribosomal RNA, 541 nt
Filed under: Bifidobacterium bifidum
Lineage: Bacteria; Bacillati; Actinomycetota; Actinomycetes; Bifidobacteriales; Bifidobacteriaceae
Description: bacterial SSU rRNA
Rfam family: Bacterial small subunit ribosomal RNA
Source: RNAcentral
GUGGUAAUGCCGGAUGUUCCACAUGAUCGCAUGUGAUUGUGGGAAAGAUUCUAUCGGCGUGGGAUGGGGUCGCGUCCUAUCAGCUUGUUGGUGAGGUAACGGCUCACCAAGGCUUCGACGGGUAGCCGGCCUGAGAGGGCGACCGGCCACAUUGGGACUGAGAUACGGCCCAGACUCCUACGGGAGGCAGCAGUGGGGAAUAUUGCACAAUGGGCGCAAGCCUGAUGCAGCGACGCCGCGUGAGGGAUGGAGGCCUUCGGGUUGUAAACCUCUUUUGUUUGGGAGCAAGCCUUCGGGUGAGUGUACCUUUCGAAUAAGCGCCGGCUAACUACGUGCCAGCAGCCGCGGUAAUACGUAGGGCGCAAGCGUUAUCCGGAUUUAUUGGGCGUAAAGGGCUCGUAGGCGGCUCGUCGCGUCCGGUGUGAAAGUCCAUCGCUUAACGGUGGAUCUGCGCCGGGUACGGGCGGGCUGGAGUGCGGUAGGGGAGACUGGAAUUCCCGGUGUAACGGUGGAAUGUGUAGAUAUCGGAAAAGAAACACCA